Molecule: long non-coding RNA, 1531 nt
Filed under: Capra hircus (goat)
Lineage: Eukaryota; Metazoa; Chordata; Mammalia; Artiodactyla; Bovidae
Description: lncRNA (ENSCHIG00010022126.1)
Source: RNAcentral
AUGCACUUGAAUAAUUCUGAAACCAUCCCCCAACCCCAUCAGUGGAAAAAAUGUCUUCUACAGAACCAGUCCCUGGUGCCAGAAAGAUUGGGAACUGCUGCUGCAAUACAUAUCUCAUUCUGUUACCCUCACCCCCACCCCCCACAGGGAGAAACUAAGAUGCAGGCUAGUGAGGGGACUGGCCCAGUGUCACACAGCCUAUGUUCAGCAGAAGCACGAUUCAAACGGUGGCCUGCCACACUGAAAAGUCCACGCUUUCUGCUAAACCACAGAUCAGCCGCAAGGAUUAUAAUGUUGGAGAGGGGAUUAACCACCCAAGAGUACUCAUUGCCUUCACUUCUGCAAAAAUAACUCAACCCAGCGCGGAAUAAACUCCAACACUGAUCGGUUUUCAAGAAGUUAACCUAAGACAAAAUACUGCUAGAGGGCAGCAGCAAUUUGGAAUCAUUAAAGGGAACCCAUGUAAAUAAUAAAAACAAAACUAAAAUGCAGAAUUAAAUUAAGGAAUAGGAAAUUAAAUUUGUGAAUCUGAUCUGAAAUUGAGGCCCUAUAUGCACAGGCUUUACCCUGGCUUGGCUCUUUGAUCAGGAGGGCUGGGGCAGGAAGGUUCUGCAGAGGUUCCCAGCCCAGGGAAGCAGCGGACAGGAGUGCGCACACCAGCCUCGCCUCCUGGGGUGACAGUGUGCUGUCCUGGGAAGAGGGCUGUGGGCUCGCAGGGAGUAAAGGGACUUCCCUCCCACGAGGCCCUCUCGGAGGAAGAUGAGAGUCGCAUCAUCCCAGCUACUUCUGGAUGACUUAUAUCGAGUGCCAGUGACUAGUGAAGGAGAACCAACAGCCUGCAGCUGAGAGGCUGCGCUGCCGCCACUGGAGACUGCUCAGGAAAUGAGGCAGAUGGAUGCAGGCUGGCUACACCGAGAUGCUGAGAGCAGACACAGGCAGAGUGGCCUUUCCAGUCCCGCUCCACCCCGGUGUUCUGGUCACCCUCCCACAGGUAACUCAGCUUGGGACAGGGACUGGGGUCUUGUCCCCUGCCCUAGCAGUAGCCCCUAAGUGCUGAAGACUAUUUAAUGUACAGAUGUGGAGAUGCAGAUUCCAACACCAGACAAAUAGUCAUCUCGUCAGGUAAAGAGGGAGACAGGGAAGAGAGAUAAGUGGGGGCGGGGGNNNNNNNNNNNNNNNNNNNNNNNNNNNNNNNNNNNNNNNNNNNNNNNNNNNNNNNNNNNNNNNNNNNNNNNNNNNAUGGCUCAGACUUCAUUCUGUAGUUUACCAGGACUUUUAGACCAUGUUCUUAGGGUAGCUUCUCUCCUUCCUCCUGCCCCCAGCUCCAUGCAGCUCUCUUCUCUUUCCCCCUCCUCCAUUCUCCAAGGGGAAGGAGUCUGGCUUGCAGAGUCAAACAGACUGGUUUGAGUCACAGUUCUUUCUCUUACUUAGUACUGUAGCUGAGGGUACUAUCUCGCCUUUCUUCCCCUCAGUUUCCUCAUGUGUUGUUCAGUUGCUCAGUCGUGUCUGACUCUUUGUGACCCCAUGGACU